This 997-nucleotide ribosomal RNA is filed under the name Clostridioides difficile. Its description in RNAcentral is "partial 23S ribosomal RNA". It matches the Rfam family "Bacterial large subunit ribosomal RNA", at positions 662 to 1665 of the family's 2925-position model. Lineage: Bacteria; Bacillati; Bacillota; Clostridia; Peptostreptococcales; Peptostreptococcaceae. The record is from RNAcentral.
GGAGCCGUAGCGAAAGCGAGUUUUAACUGAGCGUUCAGUUACUUGACGUAGACCCGAAACCGGGCGACCUACCCAUGAGCAGGAUGAAGCGAAAGUAAAAUUUCGUGGAGGUCCGAACCCACGAGCGUUGAAAAGCUCGGGGAUGACUUGUGGGUAGCGGUGAAAUUCCAAUCGAGCCCGGAGAUAGCUGGUUCUCCCCGAAAUAGCUUUAGGGCUAGCCUCAAGGUGAGAGAUACGGAGGUAGAGCACUGAAUGUCCUAGGGGGUAUUGCACCUACCGAAGACUAUCAAACUCCGAAUGCCGUCAUCUUAUACUUGGGAGUCAGACUGUGGGUGAUAAGAUUCAUAGUCGAAAGGGCAACAGCCCAGAUCGUCAGCUAAGGUCCCUAAAUGUAAGUUAAGUGGUAAAGGAUGUGGGAUUGCACAGACAACCAGGAUGUUGGCUUAGAAGCAGCCACUCAUUCAAAGAGUGCGUAAUAGCUCACUGGUCGAGUGAUCCUGCGCCGAAGAUUUCCGGGGCUAAAACUUACUACCGAAGCUACGGCAUCAGUAAUGAUGGGUAGGGGAGCUUCCCAUACGGGUUGAAGCAUGACCGUAAGGACAUGUGGACAGUAUGGGAGUGAGAAUGUUGGCAUGAGUAGCGAGAUGUGGGUGAGAAUCCCACAGGCCGUAAACCCAAGGUUUCCAGGGGAAGGUUCGUCCGCCCUGGGUUAGUCGGGACCUAAGCUGAGGCCGAAAGGCGUAGGUGAUGGACAACAGGUUGAUAUUCCUGUACUACCGAUAACCGUUUGAGAGAAGGGAUGACACAGUAGGAUAAGCUAAGCACACUGUUGGUUAUGUGUGCCCAAGCAUUGAGGCAGUCAAAGUAGGCAAAUCCGCUUUGAUAAUGCUGGGAUGUGAUGGGGAGCGAAAUUUAGUAGCGAAGUAGCUGAUUUCACACUGUCAAGAAAAGUCUCUAUCGAGGUUAAAGGUACCCGUACCGCAAACCGACACAGGUG